GUCCCCAUAGCUCAAAGGAUAGAGCUCCUGCCUUCUAAGCAGGCAAUCCAGGUUCGAUUCCUGGUGGGGACA
Elusimicrobia bacterium GWC2_61_19 is the source of this 72-nucleotide non-coding RNA. The record is from Rfam. Lineage: Bacteria; Pseudomonadati; Elusimicrobiota.